This 465-nucleotide ribosomal RNA is filed under the name uncultured bacterium. RNAcentral's name for it is "partial 16S ribosomal RNA". It matches the Rfam family "Bacterial small subunit ribosomal RNA", at positions 28 to 507 of the family's 1533-position model. The record is from RNAcentral.
GACGAACGCUGGUGGCGUGCUUAACACAUGCAAGUCGAACGGAAAGGCCCUGCUUGCCGGGUACUCGAGUGGCGAACGGGUGAGUAACACGUGGGUGAUCUGCCCUGCACUUCGGGAUAAGCCUGGGAAACUGGGUCUAAUACCGGAUAGGAGCCAUUUUUAGUGUGAUGGUUGGAAAGUUUUUUCGGUGUAGGAUGAGCUCGCGGCCUAUCAGCUUGUUGGUGGGGUAAUGGCCUACCAAGGCGGCGACGGGUAGCCGGCCUGAGAGGGUGGACGGCCACAUUGGGACUGAGAUACGGCCCAGACUCCUACGGGAGGCAGCAGUGGGGAAUAUUGCACAAUGGGCGCAAGCCUGAUGCAGCGACGCCGCGUGGGGGAUGACGGCCUUCGGGUUGUAAACUCCUUUCGCUAGGGACGAAGCUUUUUGUGACGGUACCUAGAUAAGAAGCACCGGCUAACUACGUG